Molecule: long non-coding RNA, 488 nt
Organism: Quercus robur (English oak)
Lineage: Eukaryota; Viridiplantae; Streptophyta; Magnoliopsida; Fagales; Fagaceae
Exons: 2
Source: RefSeq, a predicted model, not a curated record
GUAUUGCCAACGUUGUGGUACAAUGAAACUUAAGAGCGAAAUUCCAAAAAAUUCUCAAAAACCAACCAAGAAAUUAGGGUUUUAUUCUGUAGGAGGCUAAGGAUCAUGAAGGGCUCAGAGGCAAUUGGGCUAGCUCCAAGGGCUGUGGAGAAGUGUAAGAACCGUAACUAAAGUGGAAGUAUCUACAAAGACCAAAGGGAGGUGGUUCCUGGGUAUCAAAAGCUUUGAAAGAAUUUGAAGUUUGGUAUUCUAUUUUAGAAACCUAUAUGUGUUUUUGAUAUGUAUUAGCUUCUGUGUAGUUAAGAGACUGGUAAAUUUUCAUGUAAGGUAGAAGAUUUUAACUGGAGAUAUGAUUAUUAUAUAAUUUCUUUUGUUUUUCUAUAUGUAUCUCUGAACUCAAAAGUGAUGUGUAAAUGGAUUGCUUGAUGAUUGUAAUUCCUCUGCCUCUAUAACUCUAUUUUUGGUAAAUAACAAAAAUUUGUUACUCA